AACUGUGAAUAAAAAAUCCAUUAGCUUGUAUGGGGUGAUUAGGCAAUAGUCAAGGAAGCUCCGGUUAAUAUAAUUAUGUGAGUUGUGAGACUGUGAUGCUUAGGACUGUUCAUUCAAAACCUUGAACUGAACCGAUAAUUUAGGACUGUAAUGGUAAUAUUCAGAAUAUUUUUGUAUUGAAAAGUUGCUUAUUUAGGACUGACUCUGUUAGUCACACAUCUGAAUGUCUAAUUCAUUGGAUUUUUUACAAAAAAAAAAAUGUAUUUACUUCUAGAUAGUUGAUCUGCUCAUUGUUUCUUUUCUUUUUCCAUAGAAUUUUAAUUAUAAUACUUUUAUUUUGCAGAAGAUAAAUAAUGAUGAUAUCGAAGAAGAAAUGCAAGAUCAUGGAGAAGAGGAAGAAGAAGAAGAAGAAGAGCUAGAUGUUUAUGUUUGAUGAUGAAUGCACAUAAUUAUUAAGAUGUUAGUUUCAUUUUGAAGAUGCAUGGUCUAUUUCAUUUUGAAGAUGUUAGUUUGAUUGUGAAUUGAUUGUGAAUGAUUGACAAUAUUAGGAAAACGUUAUGUUGAUCGAUGUUAUUAUUUUGAUAUAUAUAAAUGAUAAUCAUUUUAGUUUAA
This 612-nucleotide long non-coding RNA is filed under the name Trifolium pratense (red clover). RNAcentral describes it as "long non-coding RNA (TPRA_LNC010162)". Lineage: Eukaryota; Viridiplantae; Streptophyta; Magnoliopsida; Fabales; Fabaceae. The record is from RNAcentral.